GAGUACUUCCCAGAACUUCUGCUGCCAGUGUCCUUGUCCCCACGGUGAAACAGAGCCAGCCCCCGCCUCUGCAGGAGACCCCCCCAACACCAGCAGGCAUCCAGAACACCUGCCCAAUGAUCCAGAAACUCAAGCUACUUAUUGGACCCUUACCUUAAAAUAACUCAUGACAGCCUAUCCCUUAAGGACAAAUAUUUCCUCUCCUACAUCAGAGUCAAUCGACUUCCCUGGUGACGCAGCGGUUAAAAAUCUGCCUGCCAAUGCAGGGGACACGGGUUUGAGCCCUGGUCCGGGAAGAUCCCACAUGCUGUGGAGCAACUAAGCCUGUGGGCCACAACUACUGAGCCUGCACUCUAGAGCCCAUGAGCUACAACUACUGAGCCUGCGUGCCACAGCUACUGAAGCCCGUGCGCCUAGAGCCUGUGCUCCGCUACAAGAGAAGCCACUGCAAUAAGCCCGUGCACCGCAACGAAGAGUAGCCCCUGCUCUCCCCAACUAGAGAAAGCCUGCAUGCAGCAAUGAAGACCCAACGCAGCCAAGAAUAAAUAAAUUUAAUAAUAAAAAAGUAACAUUUACUGAUCAGUUACCUUGUACCAGGCACUGUACCAAACUAUUGUAUUUCCAUGUGUUAUUGCAAAAAAAUAGAAUA
Long non-coding RNA from Eubalaena glacialis (North Atlantic right whale), 649 nucleotides. RefSeq lists it as uncharacterized. The transcript is spliced from 3 exons. The record is from RefSeq and is a predicted model, not a curated record. NCBI's taxonomy places the organism in Eukaryota, Metazoa, Chordata, Mammalia, Artiodactyla, Balaenidae.